GAUGAACGCCGGCGGUGUGCCUAAUACAUGCAAGUCGUACGCACUGGCCCAACUGAUUGAUGGUGCUUGCACCUGAUUGACGAUGGAUCACCAGUGAGUGGCGGACGGGUGAGUAACACGUAGGCAACCUGCCCCGGAGCGGGGGAUAACAUUUGGAAACAGAUGCUAAUACCGCAUAACAACAAAAGUCACAUGGCUUUUGUUUGAAAGAUGGCUUUGGCUAUCACUCUGGGAUGGACCUGCGGUGCAUUAGCUAGUUGGUAAGGUAACGGCUUACCAAGGCGAUGAUGCAUAGCCGAGUUGAGAGACUGAUCGGCCACAAUGGAACUGAGACACGGUCCAUACUCCUACGGGAGGCAGCAGUAGGGAAUCUUCCACAAUGGGCGCAAGCCUGAUGGAGCAACACCGCGUGAGUGAAGAAGGGUUUCGGCUCGUAAAGCUCUGUUGUUGGAGAAGAACGUGCGUGAGAGUAACUGUUCACGCAGUGACGGUAUCCAACCAGAAAGUCACGGCUAACUACGUGCCAGCAGCCGCGGUAAUACGUAGGUGGCAAGCGUUAUCCGGAUUUAUUGGGCGUAAAGCGAGCGCAGGCGGUUGCUUAGGUCUGAUGUGAAAGCCUUCGG
RNAcentral lists this ribosomal RNA (623 nucleotides) under uncultured Lactobacillus sp. RNAcentral's name for it is "bacterial SSU rRNA". It matches the Rfam family "Bacterial small subunit ribosomal RNA", at positions 28 to 607 of the family's 1533-position model. Lineage: Bacteria; Bacillati; Bacillota; Bacilli; Lactobacillales; Lactobacillaceae. The record is from RNAcentral.